AAUGGGUCAGCGACUUAUAUUCUGUAGCAAGGUUAACCGAAUAGGGGAGCCGAAGGGAAACCGAGUCUUAACUGGGCGUUAAGUUGCAGGGUAUAGACCCGAAACCCGGUGAUCUAGCCAUGGGCAGGUUGAAGGUUGGGUAACACUAACUGGAGGACCGAACCGACUAAUGUUGAAAAAUUAGCGGAUGACUUGUGGCUGGGGGUGAAAGGCCAAUCAAACCGGGAGAUAGCUGGUUCUCCCCGAAAGCUAUUUAGGUAGCGCCUCGUGAAUUCAUCUCCGGGGGUAGAGCACUGUUUCGGCAAGGGGGUCAUCCCGACUUACCAACCCGAUGCAAACUGCGAAUACCGGAGAAUGUUAUCACGGGAGACACACGGCGGGUGCUAACGUCCGUCGUGAAGAGGGAAACAACCCAGACCGCCAGCUAAGGUCCCAAAGUCAUGGUUAAGUGGGAAACGAUGUGGGAAGGCCCAGACAGCCAGGAUGUUGGCUUAGAAGCAGCCAUCAUUUAAAGAAAGCGUAAUAGCUCACUGGUCGAGUCGGCCUGCGCGGAAGAUGUAACGGGGCUAAACCAUGCACCGAAGCUGCGGCAGCGACGCUUA
This 602-nucleotide ribosomal RNA is filed under the name Escherichia coli. RNAcentral describes it as "partial 23S ribosomal RNA". It matches the Rfam family "Bacterial large subunit ribosomal RNA", at positions 614 to 1217 of the family's 2925-position model. Lineage: Bacteria; Pseudomonadati; Pseudomonadota; Gammaproteobacteria; Enterobacterales; Enterobacteriaceae. The record is from RNAcentral.